GCGGGUAUGGUGGAAUUGGCAGACACGAUGGAUUUAGGUUCCAUUGGGAAACCGUGCAGGUUCAAGUCCUGUUACCCGCACCA
Molecule: transfer RNA, 83 nt
Filed under: Oscillibacter valericigenes
Lineage: Bacteria; Bacillati; Bacillota; Clostridia; Eubacteriales; Oscillospiraceae
Also listed under: 2 other names
Description: tRNA-Leu
Rfam family: tRNA
About the family: Transfer RNA (tRNA) molecules are approximately 80 nucleotides in length. Their secondary structure includes four short double-helical elements and three loops (D, anti-codon, and T loops).
Source: RNAcentral